CAUGCCCAAAUCACACAGGUUGCAGUCACAAGGAUGAUCUGGCCGACCAUGUCAGCAAAGCCAACGCAACAGAGUUGAAGGAAAUAUUAUGACAUGAACAUGGUGUGAUGACCCGUGUGCAACCUCAACAAGUGUGAAGGUGCUGCUAAGUUAGAGGAUUGAUUAGAAACCAAAAAAAAGCAGGCUUGGUUAGCUUCAAGAAGAAAAUAUUUCAAAACCGUGUACCUAUUGAAAUGGCAUGGAAGACAGAGAUGGCAGCAGCCUGCAU
Triticum dicoccoides is the source of this 268-nucleotide long non-coding RNA. RefSeq lists it as uncharacterized. The record is from RefSeq and is a predicted model, not a curated record. Lineage: Eukaryota; Viridiplantae; Streptophyta; Magnoliopsida; Poales; Poaceae. The transcript has 4 exons.